Molecule: long non-coding RNA, 1944 nt
Organism: Scylla paramamosain (green mud crab)
Lineage: Eukaryota; Metazoa; Arthropoda; Malacostraca; Decapoda; Portunidae
Exons: 3
Source: RefSeq, a predicted model, not a curated record
CACGACCCGCAUCUGGCCACACUGCCGCUGCCUGCCAUCACAUGCUGACGCCUCGCUGUCACCACUCAGGGAUACUUUGGUACUUAUCUUACGUCUUGAGGCAACGAAGAGUGUCUUAACGGUCUUUGAGCCACAGAAAAACGGCUUAAUCUGUCUUCAUAUCAACGGAGAAGACUAUGUCUGUCUUCAAGCAACAGAGAAGACACACCUUUUGAAUGAAGCAAAGACCUACGCAGGAAGAAAACUAAGGUACUUUAUUGUCAAAAGGAAAGAAACGACAUGUGUAACAGAAAAGCAACAUAAUUAUUAGAGAAAAGACUCUUCUGCUGGCGGCAAAGGAAAAAUACAAGUAAUAGAAGGAAAGGAAAGAGUAUAUUGGCAAAAGGAUGGGAGAAAUGUGUGUUCGUUUAAAGGAAAAGGAGACGAACACGUGAAAGAAGCGCAUGGAGGACUUGUGUGGUGCUGGAAAGGAGAAAGCAAACACACGGGACAUCAAGAAAAGAAAAAAAAAAACAUGAAGAAAAACACUCUAAUAGCAUAAAAUAAGAAAAAAUAGACACGUAUGUUAUAGAAAAGCAACUCACGUACUGGGAAGAAGAAGAAGAAGAAGAAGAAGAAGAAGAAAAGAAAGAAACAGGAAAAGAAAAAAAAAUGCAGGAAUAAGAUAAACACAAGACAACAGAAAACGGAGGAAGAGAUAAUUUAACGCACAGACACCAUCAUACACCUUCACCUCUUCUCUGCCCUCCAGGUGUACCCAGUAAUUAUGAACCUAGCCACCUGUCCAGCUCACACCUUUACCUGAGAAAUCACCACACCUGCCCGCCCCUCGCAUCCACACCUACCUAGGCUUGGCGAGUGUAAUUCCAGAGUGAGUAAAACGCAAAAUCGAGGCAGCUGGAGGCGAGCUCUUGACCCGAACUGGAGCAACACGCGGUUCGAACACAGCUGAACGAAGCACCAGAGAACAAGAAGAAAAAGAAGAAAGAAAGAAAGAAAGAAAGAACAACAACAACAACAACAACAACAACAACAACAAACUCAAUAAAAGUGAAGAGAGAAAUACAAAUACAACAAAGAAGAAGAAACAAACUAAAAACAAUCAUGUCUUAGUCCUGGGGCGCUUUAUAAUCCUAGUAUUGUGACGACAAACUCCCGGUAAUUCAACUAAUCACUCAGUCAAUUACUUCUCUUCGUUGUUACCUUAGUCUACCUACGAACGCCUGAGAGCGAGAUUAUCAACACCAGCAGUCAUGAAUGUGGUAGCUGUAGUGGCACUGGUGGUGGUGGUGGUGAUGGUGGUGACAGCAGAAGAAGACCCGCGUGUGACGGUGUGCUCCCAGCGUGACUUAAGAAACACUAUUAGUAAUUUAUGCAGUAGAAGAAGACAGCGAUCUAUUUGGUCUUUCCUAUCCUCUUCCUCUUCCUCUCAACCAUCACUUUCCCUCUCUCAUUCAUUUGCUUAUUCAGACUCUUCCUCCUCCUCCUCCUCGUUGCUGACACACCUAGGUAUCAAAGGGCGACCCAGGACACACACCACCCAACAAGACACCAACGAGGGACACACGAGGUCGUAUCCCCUUAUCCUACCAUCUCUUUUGGGGCGUGGAGGUGUGGGGUUGUCAGUGCACGGGGCUGAGGGCGUGGGGAGCCGUGAGUUGGGUGCUGGCCGGCGUAGAAGUAGGUGGAGGAUGGGUAAGAACAAAUGGUGGGUAAAUAAAGACGUAAUCAAGAGACAUUUCCUGACGAAGAGAAAAGUUCAGACUCUUGGGGAUCUGCGCAAGCAUUGUUGUCUGCACGGCUGUCUGGAGAGUGACCUGUUGUCCGCGUGUAUAUGAGAGAGAGAGAGAGAGAGAGAGAGAGAGAGAGAGAGAGAGAGAGAGAGAGAGAGAGAGAGAGAGAGAGAGAGAGAGAGAGAGAGAGAGAGAGAGAGAGAGAGAGAGA